UACAUAGGGGGCAAGCGUUGUCCGGAAUCACUGGGCGUAAAGAGAGCGUAGGCGGUUUAGCAAGUCAUGGGUGAAAGCCCGGAGCUUAACUCCGGAAUUGCCCCUGAAACUGCUUUACUUGAGUAUGGGAGAGGAAGAUGGAAUUCCAAGUGUAGCGGUGGAAUGCGUAGAUAUUUGGAGGAACAUCGGUGGCGAAGGCGAUCUUCUGGAACAUUACUGACGCUGAGGCUCGAAAGCGUGGGGAGCAAAC
This 250-nucleotide ribosomal RNA is filed under the name uncultured prokaryote. RNAcentral's name for it is "partial 16S ribosomal RNA". It matches the Rfam family "Bacterial small subunit ribosomal RNA", at positions 524 to 773 of the family's 1533-position model. The record is from RNAcentral.